RNAcentral lists this ribosomal RNA (301 nucleotides) under uncultured bacterium. Its description in RNAcentral is "partial 16S ribosomal RNA". It matches the Rfam family "Bacterial small subunit ribosomal RNA", at positions 509 to 807 of the family's 1533-position model. The record is from RNAcentral.
CAGUCGCCGCGGUAAUACAGAGGGUGCAAGCGUUAAUCGGAAUUACUGGGCGUAAAGCGCGCGUAGGUGGUUUGUUAAGUUGGAUGUGAAAUCCCCGGGCUCAACCUGGGAAUUGCAUUCGAUACUGGGAAGCUAGAGUAUGGGAGAGGAUGGUAGAAUUCCAGGUGUAGCGGUGAAAUGCGUAGAGAUCUGGAGGAAUACCGAUGGCGAAGGCAGCCAUCUGGCCUAAUACUGACGCUGAGGUACGAAAGCAUGGGGAGCAAACAGGAUUAGAUACCCCUGUAGUCCCUGUCUCUUAUAC